This is a long non-coding RNA of Aotus nancymaae (Ma's night monkey), 1794 nucleotides long. The record is from Ensembl. NCBI's taxonomy places the organism in Eukaryota, Metazoa, Chordata, Mammalia, Primates, Aotidae.
CUUUAAUCCUCGUGCUCUAACCUCUAUUAACAUAAUACUUCAGGUAGCAGAGAUCUUAGGGAAUAAGCAAGAGGGGAAUAUUUUGUUUCUAUUUAGCUUUUAAAUUUUGUUUAUUAUUCAUGGCAUGAGCCUUAACUACCACCCUUAACUAUAGCCACAGCCCUCUCCUCUUUGGUAUCUUAUUCUAAUUGGAAUCCACAGAGAUCAUCAUUCUUUUUUGCUGUACCUAUUAACUGGUUUCAUUUACAACACUGCCCUAUUAGAAUUGUGGAGAUUAUUAACUUGGAUUUUCAAAUCAGAUUUCCUGCAACUCUGCUCAAAGCAACCUUAUUUUACUAGUGGAACAAUCAUGUAUUUUCAGCAAUGGGUCAUAAAUAUUGAAGAGUUAGUUCCUAGCUAAUUUAAAAGAAUAAAGGAUAGAGCAUCCUUCAGAUUUCAUUCUGAUCUAAUUUUGGUUGAGUAAGCUGUUUGCAAAGGUCACAAAUGAAAACAGUCAUAAAGAGCACCAAGAGGCAUAUACACAGGUUUGGCUGUGUGUGUGUUUGUGUGCAUUUUCACGUUUGAAAAAAAAAAAAAUAAGCACAAGGGCAUGAAAACAACCAGAAAGAAUAAGAGGCCUAGCUAAUUUUUCAUAGAACUUUACAGUGAUUGUUGAUAUUCCCAUCAAUCUCCUGAAGCUCUGCAAGCCUUUGAGGAUUUCUGAAUUACUAAAGAAGGAAUAAAUCUCUCUCUGCUUAAUUUUAUGGCAGAAAUUGGACCAGAAUUAAUGGGGCCAGUGCACGGUGGGAAGACUCCAGGUGUCCUCAGCCCUGUGGGCUGUAGCCUGACAGUCUCGAGAACCCUCGGAAAGGAGCCAGCACUUUUGUCUUCCAGAACAUCAUUAUGCACAUUACAUCACUACUGGUUCCUGGCAGCAUCUAGAAAAUCUGAUUAGAAACUUAUGCAGCUCCAUAGUUCUGUUUCAGAUACUCAAGUGGAAUUUCCAGAUGGUUGCCUUCUCUAAGGUAUGAUGCUUCUUUCCAUAAGUAAUCUUUAUCGCCUUUCCUCCUACAUUUAAUAUGUUUAUUACAUACUUGGCCUGCAAAUUGUUUUCUUUUACAUUUUAAAUAUAAUAGCUGAUGAUUUUGAUUUGUGCUUUCACUAAUAAUUGACAGUUGUGAAGGGUGCUUUAUUUCUGUAACUCAAGUGCUGCCACUUUCUUGGUAGAAAUCUGCUUCAAAAGAUCAAUGGGUUAAUUCAUUAGUCAAUGUUAGGUCAGUGCCAAUGAUAAAUCCACUAUAAUUUUUCUCAGUUUUUAUUUAAUUAUGAUGCCACUGCAUCCCAUGAUCCAUCCUUUUUUUGUGUAAAUUGGGUUGAGGGGGAGACAACUAUCGCUACUGUGCCAUGCCAGAAAAUAGGCAUAUCUUUUUCCAUUGACUGAUGCUACUCAUAGCUUUAAAGCCAGCAUAUUUAAUGUUUUCUUGAAUAAUUAAAGGAAGGGAUUUGCUGAACAUGGUAGGUGAUGUUUAUUGUAGUCCUCCAAAGAGCACCUGCCACUGAAAUGAAGGUAGGAAUUGGAAUUAAAUGUAAUUGACCUCACAUUAUGAGGCAGUUUCCCAGCAAUCUUAUGCUCGCAAACCCUGAUUUUUUCAUAGAAAAAUUUCAUAUACCCAUAGUCCACCAUCACAAUAACAGCCAUCUCUGCCAAUAUCACAACUUAUAUCAUUUCAAUUUGUCUGCCAUCACCUUUGGCAUAAUAUAAUAACCACCCACUCAUCACUUUGCAAUCCUGACAUCACUUUAAGUAUUUUUUUG